GAUGAACGCUGGCGGCAUGCCUAACACAUGCAAGUCGAACGAGAAGCUUCGAGGAGACGAUUUAUCUGAUCCUCGAAGUGGAAAGUGGCGGACGGGUGAGUAACGCGUGAGUAACCUACCUCAUACAGAGGGAUAGCCCCGGGAAACUGGGUGUAAUACCUCAUAAGACUACGCUACCGCAUGGUAAAGUAGUAAAACUCCGGU
This 204-nucleotide ribosomal RNA is filed under the name uncultured Bacillota bacterium. Its description in RNAcentral is "uncultured Firmicutes bacterium partial 16S ribosomal RNA". It matches the Rfam family "Bacterial small subunit ribosomal RNA", at positions 28 to 212 of the family's 1533-position model. The record is from RNAcentral. Lineage: Bacteria; Bacillati; Bacillota.